RNAcentral lists this long non-coding RNA (728 nucleotides) under Sus scrofa (pig). RNAcentral's name for it is "lncRNA (ENSSSCG00005025782.1)". The record is from RNAcentral. Lineage: Eukaryota; Metazoa; Chordata; Mammalia; Artiodactyla; Suidae.
GACCCAUUUCUCCCCCAAACAGAACUGAAUCCAGAGGCUUCCUGGAAGGUGAUAAUAUUGUUAGUGGGACCACUAUUUUUCUGUGGCUCAGGACACAAGAGUUAAUUACAAGUUUCCAUUAUGGUCUUCCUUAUGUUCCUGCCAGAGAGCGAACAGAUCUUUUUCCAUUAGCAAUUUCCCCUGAAAUUCCCCUGUUUUCCUGAUUCUGUUGAUAAGACAGAAUCACACAAUUCCAUCUGGUCCUACAUCUGCUUGUCCCCAUUUGUGUGUCCCUGAAGUGGGAAUAGUCUUGCUCUCUGCAGAGCUUUCUAUGGCUGGCCCUGUAGAUGUGGCACAGGAGACCUCACCUUGGGUUGGCCUGCUUGGGAUUUGCUGAGGAACUUGUGCUGCCCACCUACAGAAAUGUGAAUUGUAAGUACAUCAAUUAUGAAGCGCCUAAACAUCUCCAUGCUGCUAGUCCUUUUCCUUUGCUAGUCCAGCCUCUCAGGUUUGCAAAAGCUCUGUCCUCUUAGGCAGCUCAAGGGCCUUACUCUUGCUAACAUGAAAAGAUCUGAUAGAAAUUUUACUCUAAGUUAUUAAUGAGUUAUUGUGCAGCUCCUGCCAUAUAGAUAAAUGUUUCUGCAAAGAAGAGGAUAGAGAGAGGAUGGAAAGGAGAAGGCAAUGCUUAACCAAAUGCAAGGAAUAACUAGUGAAAAACCUUCAAGCAUUUUGACACUUGAAAGAGGGAG